AAACCAACUGGGAUUACCUUAGUAACGGCGAGUGAAGCGGUAAAAGCUCAAAUUUGAAAUCUGGUACUUUCAGUGCCCGAGUUGUAAUUUGUAGAAUUUGUCUUUGAUUAGGUCCUUGUCUAUGUUCCUUGGAACAGGACGUCAUAGAGGGUGAGAAUCCCGUUUGGCGAGGAUACCUUUUCUCUGUAAGACUUUUUCGAAGAGUCGAGUUGUUUGGGAAUGCAGCUCAAAGUGGGUGGUAAAUUCCAUCUAAAGCUAAAUAUUGGCGAGAGACCGAUAGCGAACAAGUACAGUGAUGGAAAGAUGAAAAGAACUUUGAAAAGAGAGUGAAAAAGUACGUGAAAUUGUUGAAAGGGAAGGGCAUUUGAUCAGACAUGGUGUUUUUUGCAUGCACUCGCCUCUCGUGGGCUUGGGCCUCUCAAAAAUUUCACUGGGCCAACAUCAAUUCUGGCAGCAGGAUAAAUCAUUAAGAAUGUAGCUACUUCGGUAGUGUUAUAGCUUUUUGGAAUACUGUUAGCCGGGUAUU
Molecule: ribosomal RNA, 526 nt
Filed under: uncultured Hanseniaspora
Lineage: Eukaryota; Fungi; Ascomycota; Saccharomycetes; Saccharomycodales; Saccharomycodaceae
Description: eukaryotic LSU rRNA
Rfam family: Eukaryotic large subunit ribosomal RNA
Source: RNAcentral